AAAAAGCUCGUAUUGGAUUUUGGUUAAGAGGCCGUCGCCGUUUGGUCUGUACUGCUUGUCUGACUUCCUGAUGAGACUGCUCUGGUUACCUGAACUGGAUCUCUGGUUACUUUGAAAAAUUAAGUGUUCAAAGCGGCUUACCUUGAAUUUAGCUGGAAUAACCUAUAGGACUCCUGUCCUAUCUCGUUGGUCUCGGGAUGGGAGUAAUGAUUAAGAGGACAGUUGGGGGCUUCGUAUUUCAUUGUCAGAGGUGAAAUUCUUGGAUUUAUGAAAGACGAACUUCUGCGAAAGCAUUUGCCAGGAUGUUUUCAUUAAUCAAGAACGAGAGUUGGGGGCUCGAAGAUGAUUAGAUACCAUCCUAGUCUCAACCAUAAACGAUGCCGACUAGGGAUGGUGGAU
Molecule: ribosomal RNA, 399 nt
Filed under: uncultured marine eukaryote
Lineage: Eukaryota
Description: SSU rRNA
Rfam family: Eukaryotic small subunit ribosomal RNA
Source: RNAcentral